This 435-nucleotide small RNA is filed under the name Pongo abelii (Sumatran orangutan). RNAcentral describes it as "processed transcript". The record is from RNAcentral. Lineage: Eukaryota; Metazoa; Chordata; Mammalia; Primates; Hominidae.
ACUAUGUCAAAUUGUAGGGGAACACCCGUUAGAACUUUCUUUACAUUCUCUUGCUGCCAUGUUUUAAAGAAUGAAGAGAGUGAUAAUGAACUCUCAAGUGGAACAGGUGAUGUGUCUAAGGACUGUCCUGAGAAGAUCCUAUAUUCUUGGGGAGAAUUGCUAGGAAAAUGGCACAGUAACCUUGGUGCACGACCGAAAGGGCUGUCUACUCUGGUGAAAAGUGGUGUCCCUGAAGCAUUGAGGGCAGAGGUAUGGCAGUUAUUGGCAGGCUGCCAUGACAACCAGGCAAUGCUGGAUAGAUACCGAAUUCUUAUCACAAAGGACUCAGCCCAGGAGAGUGUUAUUACUCGAGAUAUUCAUCGUACAUUUCCCGCACAUGAUUACUUUAAAGAUACUGGAGGAGAUGGUCAGGAAUCGCUCUAUAAGAUCUGCAAG